ACGGGUGAGUAACGCGUAUCCAACCUGCCGUCUACUCUUGGACAGCCUUCUGAAAGGAAGAUUAAUACAAGAUGGCAUCAUGAGUCCACAUGUUCACAUGAUUAAAGGUAUUCCGGUAGACGAUGGGGAUGCGUUCCAUUAGAUAGUAGGCGGGGUAACGGCCCACCUAGUCUUCGAUGGAUAGGGGUUCUGAGAGGAAGGUCCCCCACAUUGGAACUGAGACACGGUCCAA
RNAcentral lists this ribosomal RNA (232 nucleotides) under uncultured bacterium. RNAcentral's name for it is "partial 16S ribosomal RNA". It matches the Rfam family "Bacterial small subunit ribosomal RNA", at positions 102 to 334 of the family's 1533-position model. The record is from RNAcentral.